AGCUUUGCGCAGUGGCAGUAUCGUAGCCAAUGAGGUUUAUCCGAGGCGCGAUUAUUGCUAAUAAUAUUCUUUGCUUCUCCCAAAGCCACAAUAUUUUAUUUAUUUUCACUAUCUUGCUAAGGAA
This 124-nucleotide small nuclear RNA is filed under the name Tupaia belangeri (northern tree shrew). RNAcentral describes it as "U4 spliceosomal RNA (ENSTBEG00000018232.1)". It matches the Rfam family "U4 spliceosomal RNA". From Rfam's summary of the family: U4 small nuclear RNA (U4 snRNA) is a component of the major U2-dependent spliceosome. The structure of U4 snRNA from yeast and human has been reported. Lineage: Eukaryota; Metazoa; Chordata; Mammalia; Scandentia; Tupaiidae. The record is from RNAcentral.